GGCCCCCCUGUCUUAAGAGGACUCUCCAUGAAAUUGAAUUCGUAGUGAAGAUGCUACGUCCAUAUUGUAAGACGAAAAGUCCCCAUUGAGCUUUACUAAAGACUUAUAUGGCUCGAAUAACUUAAAUAAAAAGUUUAGAUAAUGUGGGAUCUGUUUUUGGUUAAUGAGACACCACUCUUUUAUUUUAAGAGAACUAACCUUAUAGGGAGAAUGUAAGUUAGAUAGUUUGGUUGGGGCGACCACCUUUUAAAAGGUAACGAAGGUGAGCUUAAGGUCCGUAGUUAAUAGCUAGAGGCCUGACUGCAAGGGGGACAUCCCGAGCAGACACAUCCUUAAGGAUGUGGGUUAUAGUGACCCGUCAUCUUAGAGU
RNAcentral lists this ribosomal RNA (370 nucleotides) under Exaiptasia diaphana. Its description in RNAcentral is "partial 16S ribosomal RNA". It matches the Rfam family "Bacterial large subunit ribosomal RNA", at positions 2009 to 2434 of the family's 2925-position model. The record is from RNAcentral. Lineage: Eukaryota; Metazoa; Cnidaria; Anthozoa; Actiniaria; Aiptasiidae.